AACGGCGAGUGAAGCGGGAAGAGCUCAAAUUUGAAAUCUUCAAGGUUCUACCUUGACGAAUUGUAGUUUAAAGAAGUGUUUUCUGUUAGAUGAGUAGCAAAAGUUCCUUGGAAUGGGACAUCAUAGAGGGUGAGAAUCCCGUAUUUGGUUAUUCAUUCUAGCUUUGUGAUACACUUUCAAAGAGUCGGAUUGUUUGGGAAUGCAGUCCAAAAUGGGUGGUAAAUUUCAUCUAAAGCUAAAUAUUGGCGAGAGACCGAUAGCGAACAAGUACCGUGAGGGAAAGAUGAAAAGAACUUUGAAAAGAGAGUUAAACAGUACGUGAAAUUGUCAAAAGGGAAGCGUUUGACACCAGUGUUGUUUUUCCGAAAAUCAAUUACGAAUGGCUUGAUUUUGUGUUGUAUUGACCUUAUCAGCUUUCUGCACUUUUUUCGAGUCUUUCUUAAUGCACUUUUCGGUUAACAAGUCAACAUCAAUUUCUUUUGUUGUAAAAGAGUAUUCGGAAGGUGGCUUUCUUUUCGGAGAAAGUGUUUAUAGCCCUAUACUUCUACAAUCGGAGAGAUUGAGGUCUGCAGCGUAGAUCCUUCGGGGUUAGAUACAUUUGUGCUAAGUUGUAGCUUUUCAUAGACAACUUGUUGACUAUGUUUAGUCAUGCGGCUUACUCGCUUAUGCUAUUUUACCUAC
RNAcentral lists this ribosomal RNA (681 nucleotides) under Neocallimastigales sp. RNAcentral's name for it is "partial large subunit ribosomal RNA". It matches the Rfam family "Eukaryotic large subunit ribosomal RNA", at positions 85 to 618 of the family's 3401-position model. Lineage: Eukaryota; Fungi; Neocallimastigomycota; Neocallimastigomycetes; Neocallimastigales. The record is from RNAcentral.